CGCCACGGCUUGAUCGCCCGCGCCUUGGAGCUUGCUACAAGAGGAGAAGGGCUGGUCGCUGUACGCUGGCCGCGGGUACAUCGCCUCAUGCUGGAACCCGGGCUCCCGUGCCCGGGUAUAGUAAUCCGGAGAAUGACUUGUUCACUGUUGGGGAGUAGACAAGGAACCGCACCGUGGAAAGAAAGGCCAGACCAACAUCUAUUUCCUCCGGGAACUCUGCAUUUUCCUGUUUAGCCCUCGGAUUUCACUAACUGUCAGCGCGGAAAAGCAAUAUACACAUAUUUUUUUUAAAAAAAGAGACGUGGGGAAUGUUUCGAAAUUCUGAAAGAAGGAAAACUUUUGACUCCCAAAGAUAGAUUCUGACCUCUCUCGCCCCUUCAAACUACACACCGGAAACGGCGAGAAUUAAAAACUUGACUGGCCGGAUUCGAGGACUGUGCACGCCAAUAAUUAUCAGGCUCGCGUCUCACCUUGCGGUCGCAUCCAAGGGAAGAGCUGCGUCGGGGAGGAACUCUGCUCAGAAUUCUCCGCCUCUUCUCCCAGGCUGUUCGCCGUCGACUUGCAGUCGGGGUACUGGACCAACUCGGCCUCUUGCUG
Hypanus sabinus (Atlantic stingray) is the source of this 597-nucleotide long non-coding RNA. RefSeq lists it as uncharacterized. The transcript is spliced from 3 exons. Lineage: Eukaryota; Metazoa; Chordata; Chondrichthyes; Myliobatiformes; Dasyatidae. The record is from RefSeq and is a predicted model, not a curated record.